GUCUUUUUGAUAAUAAUUUAAAGUCUAACCUGCCCACUGAAAAUUUUUGAAGGGCCGCGGUAUUUUGACUGUGCAAAGGUAGCAUAAUCAUUAGUCUUUUAAUUGAAGGCUUGUAUGAAUGGUUGGAUGAGGUAUUAACUGUCUCAAUUUAAUAAAUAAUAGAAUUUUAUUUUUAAGUUAAAAAGCUUAAAUAAUUUUAAAAGACGAGAAGACCCUAUAGAUCUUUAUAUAUUAAUUUUUAAUAAUUUUUUAGUUUAAAUUUAUUUUUAUUUGUUAAGGUAUUGAAUUGGGGUGAUUAAAAAAUUUAGUAAACUUUUUUUUAUUAGUUAACAAUGAUUUUUGAAUAGUUGAUCCAUUUUUUGUGAUUAUAAGAUUAAGUUACCUUAGGGAUAACAGCGUAAUUUUUUUGGAGAGUUCUUAUCGAUAAAAAAGAUUGCGACCUCGAUGUUGAAUUAAAGGUUAAUUUUAGGUGUAGAAGUUUAAAAUUUUGGUCUGUUCGACCAUUGAAUC
RNAcentral lists this ribosomal RNA (510 nucleotides) under Neochauliodes meridionalis. RNAcentral's name for it is "partial large subunit ribosomal RNA". The stretch from base 389 to 510 matches the Rfam family "Bacterial large subunit ribosomal RNA", at positions 2473 to 2594 of the family's 2925-position model. Lineage: Eukaryota; Metazoa; Arthropoda; Insecta; Megaloptera; Corydalidae. The record is from RNAcentral.